GGCAGGCUUAACACAUGCAAGUCGAGCGGUAGCAGAUCUAGCUUGCUAGAUGCUGACGAGCGGCGGACGGGUGAGUAACGCGUAGGAACCUGCCCAGUAGUGGGGGAUAGCCCGGGGAAACUCGGAUUAAUACCGCAUACGCUCUACGGAGGAAAGAGGGCUUCGGGCUCUCGCUAUUGGAUGGGCCUGCGUGAGAUUAGCUAGUUGGUGAGGUAAUGGCUCACCAAGGCGACGAUCACUAGCUGGUCUGAGAGGAUGAUCAGCCACACUGGGACUGAGACACGGCCCAGACUCCUACGGGAGGCAGCAGUGGGGAAUAUUGCACAAUGGGCGCAAGCCUGAUGCAGCCAUGCCGCGUGUGUGAAGAAGGCUUUCGGGUUGUAAAGCACUCUCAGUGGGGAGGAAGGCCUCGUAGUUAAUAGCUGCGAGGAUUGACGUUACCCACAGAAGAAGCACCGGCUAACUCCGUG
This 470-nucleotide ribosomal RNA is filed under the name uncultured bacterium. RNAcentral's name for it is "bacterial SSU rRNA". It matches the Rfam family "Bacterial small subunit ribosomal RNA", at positions 41 to 507 of the family's 1533-position model. The record is from RNAcentral.